AGUAAAAGUCGUAACAAGGUUUCCGUAGGUGAACCUGCGGAAGGAUCAUUAUCGAGUUUUGAAACGGGUUGUAGCUGGCCUUUCACGAGGCAUGUGCACGCCUGGCUCAUCCACUCUUCAACCUCUGUGCACUUAUUGUAGGUCGGUGAAAGGCUUUUGUGUCUCACGAUGCUUAAGCUGGAAGCCUUCCUAUGUUUUAUUACAAACGCUUCAGUUAUAGAAUGUCUUUUUUGCGUGUAACGCAUUAUAUACAACUUUCAGCAACGGAUCUCUUGGCUCUCGCAUCGAUGAAGAACGCAGCGAAAUGCGAUAAGUAAUGUGAAUUGCAGAAUUCAGUGAAUCAUCGAAUCUUUGAACGCACCUUGCGCUCUCUGGUAUUCCGGAGAGCAUGCCUGUUUGAGUAUCAUGGUAUUCUCAACCUUCAAUACUUUUUUGUAUCGAAGGCUUGGACUUGGAGGUUGUGCUGGCCCUUGUUGGUCGGCUCCUCUGAAAUGUAUUAGCGUGAACGUUACGGAUCGCUUCAGUGUGAUAAUUAUCUGCGCUGUAGUCGUGAAGUAUAUGAAGUUUGCGCUUCUAAUCGUCCUUCACGGGACAAUUUACUUAUGACAUCUGAUCUCAAAUCAGGCAGGACUACCCG
This 637-nucleotide ribosomal RNA is filed under the name uncultured fungus. Its description in RNAcentral is "eukaryotic LSU rRNA". The stretch from base 253 to 406 matches the Rfam family "5.8S ribosomal RNA". The record is from RNAcentral. Lineage: Eukaryota; Fungi.